Molecule: transfer-messenger RNA, 389 nt
Filed under: Chloroflexota bacterium
Lineage: Bacteria; Bacillati; Chloroflexota
Also listed under: 1 other name
Description: Chloroflexi bacterium transfer-messenger RNA
Rfam family: transfer-messenger RNA
About the family: Bacterial tmRNA, also known as 10Sa RNA or SsrA, is named for its dual tRNA and mRNA-like properties. Its role is to liberate the mRNA from a stalled ribosome.
Source: RNAcentral
GGGCGUGUAGUGGAUUCGACGUGGGAGGUUGACUGUACAUUGCAAGCCGCGGCGCCCGACCGCGAUAACAAUGGGCAAGCACAAUAAGUGCCAAUAACAAUCAACCUGCUAUGGCCCUCGCCGCGUAAGUAGGCGGUGGUUAUAGUAGCUAGCCCAGAAGUGGUUAGCCGUCUGCCCUUCUCGUCUCCGUCCGGGAAGAUUGGUAGGCGACACCUAAGGCGGAGUGCGAUCUGUUGAUGCCGAUAAGGCAGGUCAAAGAGACAUCGGCUAGUCGAUAGUCUACCGUGUCGUCUCGGGCUACUAUCGGCGAAUGCAAAAAGACGACUAAGCUUGUAGAUAUGUGCAUUCGAAUCUUGCGGACGCCGGUUCGAUUCCGGCCACGUCCACUU